GACAAGUCGAGCGGGGAAGGUUGCUUCGGUAACUAACCUAGCGGCGGACGGGUGAGUAAUGCUUAGGAAUCUGCCUAUUAGUGGGGGACAACRUUCCGAAAGGAAYGCUAAUACCGCAUACGCCCUACGGGGGAAAGCAGGGGAUCUUCGGACCUUGCGCUAAUAGAUGAGCCUAAGUCGGAUUAGCUAGUUGGUGGGGUAAAGGCCUACCAAGGCGACGAUCUGUAGCGGGUCUGAGAGGAUGAUCCGCCACACUGGGACUGAGACACGGCCCAGACUCCUACGGGAGGCAGCAGUGGGGAAUAUUGGACAAUGGGCGCAAGCCUGAUCCAGCCAUGCCGCGUGUGUGAAGAAGGCCUUUUGGUUGUAAAGCACUUUAAGCGAGGAGGAGGCUCCUUUAGUUAAUACCUAAAGUGAGUGGACGUUACUCGCAGAAUAAGCACCGGCUAACUCUGUGCCAGCAGCCGCGGUAAUACAGAGGGUGCGAGCGUUAAUCGGAUUUACUGGGCGUAAAGCGUGCGUAGGCGGCUUUUUAAGUCGGAUGUGAAAUCCCUGAGCUUAACUUAGGAAUUGCAUUCGAUACUGGAAAGCUAGAGUAUGGGAGAGGAUGGUAGAAUUCCAGGUGUAGCGGUGAAAUGCGUAGAGAUCUGGAGGAAUACCGAUGGCGAAGGCAGCCAUCUGGCCUAAUACUGACGCUGAGGUACGAAAGCAUGGGGAGCAAACAGGAUUAGAUACCCUGGUAGUCCAUGCCGUAAACGAUGUCUACUAGCCGUUGGGGCCUUUGAGGCUUUAGUGGCGCAGCUAACGCGAUAAGUAGACCGCCUGGGGAGUACGGUCGCAAGACUAAAACUCAAAUGAAUUGACCGGGGCCCGCACAAGCCGUGGAGCRUGUG
This 893-nucleotide ribosomal RNA is filed under the name Acinetobacter sp. RNAcentral describes it as "bacterial SSU rRNA". Lineage: Bacteria; Pseudomonadati; Pseudomonadota; Gammaproteobacteria; Moraxellales; Moraxellaceae. The record is from RNAcentral.